AUGCAACUUGCCCAAGAAAAAAUCUUUUUCUGGUUACUGCUUCUUGACAGAUUAAAUACUAGAGACAUAUUGAUCAGGAAGAGCUUCCACAUAGAAAAUAGGAGGUGUAUUCUAUGUGAUGAUGAACCCAAUGAAUAUUUAGAGCACCUCUUCUUUGAAUGUGAUUUUAGCAAAAAAUUCUGGGCAGCAUUGGGAAUGGAAUGGAACACAGACCUAAGUACUAUAUAAAUGUUGGUUGAAGGCAAAAGCAGAGACCAUAGCAAGGGUUACAAGGAGAAGCUGAUAGCAGGAUGUUGGAGCAUAUGGAAGCACAAGAAUGGCAUUAUCUUUGACAAUAAUGAUAGAAGCUUGCUUCAUUACAUAUCAAGUUUCAAACAACAUUAUAGCACUAAUAUCAGAAAAGCAAGACCUAGCUUAAAGGAUGGGAUGCAAUCCUGGUUGGAUACAAUGUAA
RNAcentral lists this ribosomal RNA (453 nucleotides) under Triticum aestivum (bread wheat). RNAcentral's name for it is "partial small subunit ribosomal RNA". Lineage: Eukaryota; Viridiplantae; Streptophyta; Magnoliopsida; Poales; Poaceae. The record is from RNAcentral.